Molecule: ribosomal RNA, 460 nt
Filed under: uncultured bacterium
Lineage: Bacteria
Description: partial 16S ribosomal RNA
Rfam family: Bacterial small subunit ribosomal RNA
Source: RNAcentral
CCUACGGGAGGCAGCAGUGAGGAAUAUUGGUCAAUGGACGCAAGUCUGAACCAGCCAUGCCGCGUGCAGGAAGACGGCGCUAUGCAUUGUAAACUGCUUUUAUACGGGGGUAAACAUAGAUACGUGUAUUUGGAUGAAAGUACCGUAUGAAUAAGGAUCGGCUAACUCCGUGCCAGCAGCCGCGGUAAUACGGAGGAUCCGAGCGUUAUCCGGAUUUAUUGGGUUUAAAGGGUGCGUAGGCGGCCUGGUAAGUUAGAGGUGAAAUGUCGGUGCUCAACAUCGGAACUGCGUCUGAUACUGUCUGGCUAGAGUGUAGGUGCGGCAGGCGGAAUGUGUGGUGUAGCGGUGAAAUGCUUAGAUAUCACACAGAACACCGAUUGCGAAGGCAGCUUACGAAGCUAUUACUGACGCUGAGGCACGAAGGCGUGGGGAGCGAACAGGAUUAGAUACCCCUGUAGUC